UGCCUCAUCCACCAGCCAGUCCAAAACACAUCCCGAAUCUGACCACUUCCCUGGUCCUGGCCACCUUCACCUCUCACCUGGACUUCCAGCAGCUUCCUAAUGGUCUUUUCAGUUCCUUGCUUGCUCCCCUCUAGUCUGUCUCUACGCAGCAGCCAGAGGGCAAGCCAGAUCACGUGGCUCCCCCGUCGAAAACCAUCCAAGGACCCGGACCCUGCUCUUGCCCACCUCUGACCUUGCUCCCUUCCCUCCAGCCACACUGGCCUUUGCUGAGCUCCACAGGCACUGCAAGCUCAUUCCUGACUCCAGGCCCACACAGCUCCAGUUUCCUCUGCCUGGAACACUCUGGCCCGAGACCUCGGCGUGCCUGGCAGCUUCUCGACAUUUGGUUCUCAGUUCACACGUCACUCGCCGACUGGCAGUGCCCCAAGAGCAGGGAGGCUCUUUUCCCCAGCACCCAGGGUGCUCAGGCGAUUUCAGUUGAGUGGAUGGAUGGAUGAACUGGAGUCAUGAAGGCCUGAGGCUGGCCACAGGAAAGGCAGUUGUUUUUCCUAGAACCCACCUUUCCUGAGACAGACACUGCGGAUACCAACGGUGUGGCAAAUGACAGGACUGAGACAGAAGCAAGUGCAAAUCAUAAGUGAGCCGCCGAUAAAUUAUGACAAAACGAGCACACCCCCGUAGAGGAUCCAGAUAAGGAAUGGAGCAUGAUCAACACCCAGAAGCUUGCUCCUACCCUUUUCCGAAGCCUCUCACCUGGGUGAAUGGGAAGACCUACUGAGCUGCUUUGGAAGAGAAGGCCGGAACGACGUUAAAUCAUGCAGAAUGCAACAAGUGGGCCCGGUAGCGUUCAAGUCAUCAAUCUGGCCAUCGGCCCCAGGAGACUCAUAAAGGUCCUGGCCCUGUGCAGGCUCAGGAUGCCCCCAGAUAUGGACACAAAUGGCCAGAGAGAGAUCAUUGACUCAAGGUCACACAGGAAGGGGUUGAUGCUGAUGUUUUCAUCCAGUCCACCUGACGACAAAGUUAUCCCCCCGCAGCACUGGGGCAUUACCAAAAGAACAGAAUCUGUCAGGACAAAUAUAGAGCGAUGGCCAUCUCAGCAUGCCCGCGUUCUGAGAAGUGGAAACAGUCCUCCGAGAAGAUGGGGGACAAGAGUGUUUUUGAAGAAAGGCUGCACAACCACGGCGAAGUCCUCUCGCUGCAGGUACUGGUAGGAGAGCCUGGAGAGGCCACUCUGGGGAUGGGGAGAGGGGCUGCUCAACUCCUCC
Long non-coding RNA from Hippopotamus amphibius kiboko, 1265 nucleotides. RefSeq lists it as uncharacterized. The transcript is spliced from 7 exons. The record is from RefSeq and is a predicted model, not a curated record. Lineage: Eukaryota; Metazoa; Chordata; Mammalia; Artiodactyla; Hippopotamidae.